GAUGAAGAACGCAGCGAAAUGCGAUAAGUAGUGUGAAUUGCAGAAUUCAGUGAAUCAUCGAAUCUUUGAACGCACAUUGCGCCCCUUGGUAUUCCAUGGGGCAUGCCUGUUCGAGCGUCAUUUGUACCUUCAAGCUCUGCUUGGUGUUGGGUGUUUGUCUCGCCUCUGCGAGUAGACUCGCCUCAAAACAAUUGGCAGCCGGCGUAUUGAUCUCGGAGCGCAGUACAUCUCGCGCUUUGCACUCAUAACGACGACGUCCAAAAGUACAUUUUUACACUCUUGACCUCGGAUCAGGUAGGGAUACCCGCUGAACUUAAGCAUAUCAAUAAGCGGAGGA
RNAcentral lists this unclassified non-coding RNA (337 nucleotides) under soil metagenome. RNAcentral's name for it is "partial contains 5.8S ribosomal RNA, internal transcribed spacer 2, and large subunit ribosomal RNA". The stretch from base 1 to 120 matches the Rfam family "5.8S ribosomal RNA", at positions 35 to 154 of the family's 154-position model. The record is from RNAcentral.